This 75-nucleotide transfer RNA is filed under the name compost metagenome. Its description in RNAcentral is "tRNA-His". It matches the Rfam family "tRNA". Rfam says of the family: Transfer RNA (tRNA) molecules are approximately 80 nucleotides in length. Their secondary structure includes four short double-helical elements and three loops (D, anti-codon, and T loops). Further hydrogen bonds mediate the characteristic L-shaped molecular structure. tRNAs have two regions of fundamental functional importance: the anti-codon, which is responsible for specific mRNA codon recognition, and the 3' end, to which the tRNAs corresponding amino acid is attached (by aminoacyl-tRNA synthetases). tRNAs cope with the degeneracy of the genetic code in two manners: having more than one tRNA (with a specific anti-codon) for a particular amino acid; and 'wobble' base-pairing, i.e. permitting non-standard base-pairing at the 3rd anti-codon position. The record is from RNAcentral.
GUGAUUGUAGUUCAGCGGUAGAACGCAGGUUUGUGGCACCUGAUGUCGGGGGUUCGAAUCCCCUCUUUCACCCCA